CAGCAUACCUAAAGGAUUUCGUGUGAUGCGCUGAGCUGGCCAUUCCCUUAGCUUUGUCUGCCAUUAGUGCCGUAGAUUCCUUUCUGUUAGGAUUAUGCUAGCAGAAGAUGACAAAUUCUGUUAUUCUUCAUACCACUAUAUAUAUGAUGAAUGUAAUAAGGCAAGACAUGAAUGAAAUUACCUUUUCUCUCAAUUGUUUCCCUCUUCUCUUGAAUUCUUCGGAGGAUUCUGGCCCUCGAAGCCCAGAGCUGCUAUCACUUGCCUGAGUAGUCCUGAGUGAAUUAAAAGGU
RNAcentral lists this long non-coding RNA (290 nucleotides) under Glycine max (soybean). RNAcentral describes it as "long non-coding RNA (GMAX_LNC003072)". The record is from RNAcentral. Lineage: Eukaryota; Viridiplantae; Streptophyta; Magnoliopsida; Fabales; Fabaceae.